Molecule: ribosomal RNA, 219 nt
Filed under: uncultured bacterium
Lineage: Bacteria
Description: partial 16S ribosomal RNA
Rfam family: Bacterial small subunit ribosomal RNA
Source: RNAcentral
UACGUAGGGUGCAAGGCGUUGUCCGGAAUUAUUGGGCGUAAAGAGCUCGUAGGCGGUUUGUCGCGUCGAAUGUGAAAACCCGGGGCUCAACCCCGGGCCUGCAUUCGAUACGGGCAGACUAGAGUUCGGUAGGGGAGUCUGGAAUUCCUGGUGUAGCGGUGAAAUGCGCAGAUAUCAAGGAGGAACACCGGUGGCGAAGGCGGCCCCCCUGGACCGGUA